AAAUUGAAGAGUUUGAUCAUGGCUCAGAUUGAACGCUGGCGGCAGGCCUAACACAUGCAAGUCGAACGGUAACAGGAAGCAGCUUGCUGCUUUGCUGACGAGUGGCGGACGGGUGAGUAAUGUCUGGGAAACUGCCUGAUGGAGGGGGAUAACUACUGGAAACGGUGGCUAAUACCGCAUAACGUCGCAAGACCAAAGAGGGGGACCUUCGGGCCUCUUGCCAUCAGAUGUGCCCAGAUGGGAUUAGCUUGUUGGUGAGGUAACGGCUCACCAAGGCGACGAUCCCUAGCUGGUCUGAGAGGAUGACCAGCCACACUGGAACUGAGACACGGUCCAGACUCCUACGGGAGGCAGCAGUGGGGAAUAUUGCACAAUGGGCGCAAGCCUGAUGCAGCCAUGCCGCGUGUAUGAAGAAGGCCUUCGGGUUGUAAAGUACUUUCAGCGGGGAGGAAGGUGUUGUGGUUAAUAACCGCAGCAAUUGACGUUACCCGCAGAAGAAGCACCGGCUAACUCCGUGCCAGCAGCCGCGGUAAUACGGAGGGUGCAAGCGUUAAUCGGAAUUACUGGGC
RNAcentral lists this ribosomal RNA (569 nucleotides) under Salmonella enterica. Its description in RNAcentral is "bacterial SSU rRNA". It matches the Rfam family "Bacterial small subunit ribosomal RNA", at positions 1 to 559 of the family's 1533-position model. Lineage: Bacteria; Pseudomonadati; Pseudomonadota; Gammaproteobacteria; Enterobacterales; Enterobacteriaceae. The record is from RNAcentral.